This 551-nucleotide small RNA is filed under the name Vigna angularis var. angularis. Its description in RNAcentral is "Non-protein coding transcript". The record is from RNAcentral. Lineage: Eukaryota; Viridiplantae; Streptophyta; Magnoliopsida; Fabales; Fabaceae.
GUAAUAGGCAGUUAAAGAAUAUGGUAUUUUUUUGAAUUUAAGCUUAACCAAUUAUUUCUGUUGCAGGUAUAUGUAAGCUGAAGAAGCAUUUGGUGAGGUAUUGGUAAGCUACGGAGGUGCUUGAUUUGGUAAGUUUCCCUAGCCACAACAACACCAGCUGUGCAGAAGUAUUACAGAAAAGUUGUCCAAGUUUGUUGUGGUGAUGAUUUUCCAACGACGAAUUUGAUCACAUUUACUGGUAUAGACUGUGUUGAAGGUUGCAUUUGGAUGUUGCAUUUGGAUUAUCCACUCAUUGUAUUUCAAUAUUGAGACUUGAAAGUACUAUCAUCUUCUGAUCUUACUCUAUUCAAUCUUGGCUGAAGUGUUCCUUGAAACCUUUCUAAAAAGCUUCACAACUUUCUUGAAUAGGAUGACAGUUUGAAGUUUAUCAUUUGACGUGGUGAAAUUGGUGGAGAAAUUAUCAGCAUUUGAGGAUCAUAUUAAUUGUAUUGAAUCAAUCUUCAUUACAUCAAACAUAAGGCUUCAAGAGGAUUGUUUAGGGGCCAUAGACG